Small nucleolar RNA from Suncus etruscus (white-toothed pygmy shrew), 127 nucleotides. RefSeq annotates it as small nucleolar RNA SNORA11. The record is from RefSeq and is a predicted model, not a curated record. NCBI's taxonomy places the organism in Eukaryota, Metazoa, Chordata, Mammalia, Eulipotyphla, Soricidae. The transcript has a single exon.
GGGGUAUGCUCAGGUCAGAGACCUAAAGUCAUGGCUUUUUUGUUUAAAACACACAAACCAGGAUCUGGGCUGAGAGACAAGGAAAACAAAAUGUGUGGUUGACCUAUGAACACACACGUCCACACAC